RNAcentral lists this ribosomal RNA (177 nucleotides) under uncultured soil bacterium. RNAcentral describes it as "partial 16S ribosomal RNA". It matches the Rfam family "Bacterial small subunit ribosomal RNA", at positions 26 to 198 of the family's 1533-position model. The record is from RNAcentral.
AGAAUCAACGCUGGCGGCGUGCCUCAGACAUGCAAGUCGAACGCGAAAGUUUCCUUCGGGAGAUGAGUAGAGUGGCGCACGGGUGAGUAACACGUAGGUAAUCUACCUUUGGAUGGGGGAAUAACAACCGGAAACGGUUGCUAAUACCGCAUAAUGCAGCGGCACCUAAUGGUAGAC